UUAAACAUAUUGAAAAUAUCUGUCUUGUAAAUUGCAACAAAUAUAUAACAUGAUAGAAGAUCCUACAAAAUGUGAAGAUACCGAUUUUGGUAAUGUGACUCCAUUGUGUUCUCAAGUGAAUCAAAUAUAUUUGGAUACAAAAUGUUUAAUAGAUAGUAAGAAUACACAAGUUCGUGUUGUUCGCGGUGCUAAAAAGUUCAAAAUUGACAACGAUGUUAACAACACUGAGAAAAAAGAUGCAAAAGAGGAAGAGACAGUAGAGAUUAAAGUAAAAUCUCUCAAACGUUCCUGUGAAUUAUGGUCUAUGGAGGAUAAAAAUACUUUUUUUAAAGCACUUAAUGAAUACGGCAAAGAUUUCGAUGCCUUACAAAGCUAUUUUCUAAAUCAAGGAAAAAAACGAGGUCUCUCAGACAUCAUGAUAAAAAAUAAAGAGCAAAUUCGACAUUUUUAUUACAGAACAUGGUUAAAAAUAUCAAAGCAUCUUAAAUUCUCAGAAGAUGUUAAAAAAACAUCUCAGGAAUUAUAUGGACUAAUAAAUUAUGGUGAACUUAGAAGAAAAUUACCUCGUAUUCAUGAGAAAGUUCACUUAAGAUUAAAUGAAUUGGUAUAUUGGGGAUCUACACAAGUCAGACUUAGAGGAAAAACAAUGAGAGUUAAAACACCGAUAUGUAGAGCACUUAGAAAGUUAAACCAGUUAGAAGAUUGGCAGGAAGAAAUUAAAUUACCAUCUAGAAUAGUGAUAGAACUACGACCGCGUAACAACAUGGCUUGGUGGCAAGUACAAGCAGCAUCCAUGAAUCCAAGAGUUCGUACACUUCUCCCCAUACAGAGACGUCUCUCAAGUCUAUUAAUAUUUUUGCAACAACGAUGGCGACUCGCAAAAUAUACUACGUGUUCCACUGUAGAAAAUCUUGUUGCUAACGAUAUAAAAGAUACUUGUUUAUUACGAGUUGCCCCACCAGAAGGAUGUAAAAUUGCUUUGCCAAUGGUUAAUCUUGGAGAAUAUCUUACUAGCAAUAGUGUCAGUUUGAAUUCAUAUGAAAAACGUCUCGGUCUGAAAAGCUCACGGGAAGAUUUGUUAGGUUCUGUUCAAUAUUUAAAAGGAGUAGGGAAAAAGGGCAUUAAACGAUAUAAAUCGGAUAAAAAGAUUUUAAACCGCACUGAUGAAAAUUGUACACUGCCAGAUAUCAGUAGUGAUAUGGAUCUCUUAGAAACUGGAAGUAAUAUAUCCGAAAAACCAACGAUUAUAAAUAAUACAGAAAAACCGCCAUCAGAACAUCAUUCAGAACCAAAUAGGUUUCCUGGUAGAGAAACUAUCGAGAGAAUUCGAAAGGGUUGGAACAUCGAAGAAGCAAACACAAUUACCGUGGGCGAUCUUUUUCUAAUGUUUGGUCGUGAAUCAAAGAUUAUACUUGAAUAUUGGUGGGAUUGGUUACCUAAUGGACAAUAUACAACUAAUUCAGCAUCAUCGAGUAUUAUACAUGAUAACAGUCUAUGUUUGGUUUUACAAAAGUUAUUGUCACUGGCGAAACAUAAUUAUGGUACUAACAAAGUAUACGAUAAUACAUCAGGAAGUAAUGAAACGGUAAUUUCGUCUCGAGUCCUAUCUAUUAAAGAAUCUACAUUUAGAAGACCUCUCAUUCCACAAACAUAUCAUAAGAUUGGUACAGCUGACGCAUUUAAGACACAACUUGAUAAAUUUAAAACACGCUUUUGUAAGCGAGGUAGAACAGUGAGACAAAAAAGUCUCGUUAUACAAAGGGUAUUGCCUGUUGUAUCUGCGCCAAAUAUGUCAUCAGAAAAUUUGACAACUAACGCUAGUGUAUGUCAAAUGCAAACUAAUAAAAUAACAGUAAAUGCGAACGAUGCUCAGGACAAAACUUUCUUAGACGCUUUAGAGACAAGUGGAGAUACAAAGAAUUCUAAUUCAAUUAUUACUAGUGCUACCCAAAUUCUUAAAGAAGGUGAACAUCAAUGGUUAAAUAGCGAGGUUGCAGAUUUUUCAUUAAGCAGUUUCUUAGGGCAGCUUGAAUCACCUAUGAAAGGUUCACAAAGAAGUCAAGCAGGUGAACAAAUUAUAGAAGAUAUUCGUCCUUCUUCUGAUGUUGUGUCACAUAUGCAAUGCCUCAUGGGAGAAAACAGUGUGGACUACAUGGCAAAAUUUGCAAAUCUUGCAUCUCAAAUGGCUUGCGAUGAAAACAAAAAAUAGGAUGCAUAUGUGUAAAAGACCUAUGGAAAUACGCUGCGUCUCAACAGCUCAUUAUUAUGAGAAAAUACAUAGAAAAGCAUUUUGACAUACCUAUAUGAAGAAUAUUUUCUGAUUUUUAUGCAACUGAUGAAAACUAAUUAAAAUAUGCACGAACAGAAAGUCCGAAUGAGUCGAUUUCACAAGAAACUUGAACAAAAAUAAUUUAAAUAAUUCAUUGCUUAAUAACUUAAUUAAUAACUUAAUAGGGGGUGAGAUUAGAAUUUGCUUGAUAUGAAAGAUUUACAUAUGAGUAGCAUAUAACAGUAAUGAUAUCCAGCGGAUCUCGGAUUACUUGAACGAAUAAUAUUAAGUUGUCAAACUAAAAUUGUAAGCCUAGAAAAAAUAUAUAGCUUGAUUCACGUGUAUACGUAUGCUUAGCGAAGAUUUAGAAUGAUAAACAGAUCAGUAGGUGCUCGAUCUUGUAAGAGUGGCGCUGCAAUGUAUUAGAUAAAAAUAUAUGUGUUUAAUUGAGA
Molecule: RNA transcript, 2721 nt
Organism: Trachymyrmex septentrionalis
Lineage: Eukaryota; Metazoa; Arthropoda; Insecta; Hymenoptera; Formicidae
Gene: crm
Gene name: protein cramped-like
Exons: 12
Source: RefSeq, a predicted model, not a curated record